CCUGAUUAACUAUAAGAGGUCAAGCCUGCCCAGUGACAUUGUUCAACGGCCGCGGUAUCCUAACCGUGCGAAGGUAGCGUAAUCACUUGUUCUUUAAAUGAGGACUAGUAUGAACGGCUUCACGAAGGCUAUACUGUCUCCCUUAUCUAAUCAGUUAAACUAAUCUCCCCGUGAAGAAGCGGGGAUUUACAUAUAAGACGAGAAGACCCUAUGGAGCUUAAAACACUUCUAAACAUUUGAAUUCCACACUACCAUUUUCAGAAACCUUCAUGAAACCCAUCAUUUUGUUUUAAGUUUUAGGUUGGGGUGACCACGGAGAAUAACCUAACCUCCACGUAGAAAGAACUUUCUUUUCUAAGCAAAGAGCUACAUCUUUAUGCAUCAACAUAUUGACCUAAUUGACCCAAUUAUUUGAUCAACGAAC
This 424-nucleotide ribosomal RNA is filed under the name Allobates sumtuosus group sp. ABGD cluster 55. RNAcentral's name for it is "partial large subunit ribosomal RNA". It matches the Rfam family "Bacterial large subunit ribosomal RNA", at positions 1834 to 2457 of the family's 2925-position model. The record is from RNAcentral. Lineage: Eukaryota; Metazoa; Chordata; Amphibia; Anura; Aromobatidae.